UACGAAGGGGGGCUAGCGUUGUUCGGAAUUACUGGGCGUAAAGCGCACGUAGGCGGCUUUGUAAGUUAGAGGUGAAAGCCCAGGGCUUAACCCUGGAAUUGCCUUUAAGACUGCAUCGCUAGAAUCGUGGAGAGGUGAGUGGAAUUCCGAGUGUAGAGGUGAAAUUCGUAGAUAUUCGGAAGAACACCAGUGGCGAAGGCGACUCACUGGACACGUAUUGACGCUGAGGUGCGAAAGCGUGGGGAGCAAACAGG
RNAcentral lists this ribosomal RNA (254 nucleotides) under uncultured bacterium. RNAcentral describes it as "partial 16S ribosomal RNA". It matches the Rfam family "Bacterial small subunit ribosomal RNA", at positions 524 to 776 of the family's 1533-position model. The record is from RNAcentral.